RNAcentral lists this non-coding RNA (112 nucleotides) under Brevibacillus panacihumi. Its description in RNAcentral is "SAM-I sequence". It matches the Rfam family "SAM riboswitch aptamer (S box leader)". Rfam says of the family: The SAM riboswitch is found upstream of a number of genes which code for proteins involved in methionine or cysteine biosynthesis in Gram-positive bacteria. The SAM riboswitch acts at the level of transcription termination control. The record is from RNAcentral. RNAcentral also lists the same sequence under 1 other name. Lineage: Bacteria; Bacillati; Bacillota; Bacilli; Caryophanales; Paenibacillaceae.
UUUUCAUCAAGAGUGGUGGAGGGACAGGCCCGAUGAAACCCGGCAACCUGCAUGUCAAGUGCGAGGUGCCAAUUCCUGCAGAAUCCAAUCUGUUGAUUCUGGGAGAUGAAUG